Non-coding RNA from Brachypodium distachyon (stiff brome), 125 nucleotides. The record is from Rfam. NCBI's taxonomy places the organism in Eukaryota, Viridiplantae, Streptophyta, Magnoliopsida, Poales, Poaceae.
AAACUACUCCCUCCGUCCCAUAUUAAGUGACUUUCUAUUACAUGUAUAUAGACACUUUUUAGGCAGAAAUAAAUCCAUAUUUGGACAAAUUUGAGUCACUUAAUAUGGGACGGAGGGAGUACAUG